GGAUAUUUUUUUGGUCGAAUUAUCCUGUUAAAAGUUUAAACAAAUGUUGAUAUGUAAUUAAUGCAGUUUGAUGAAUGGAUCUUUUAAACCAAAGCCAUGGUAAGGUUUUAAAAUGUAUACUUUCUUACGAGACGUACCAAAUUUCUACAAAAAGAUUUAGUCAUCAUCAUGGAUUAUAAAAAAUGGACUCGCUUAAAUUUGUCAUACAUUCUAAGUCAAAGAAAGGCGGAUACGUCGAAGACAAACUUAAAAUACAAAACAAAAACAAAAACAAAAAACAAAAAUCACAAGAAAGCACAGAAAACCUUAGACUGAGUAACAAGAACCCCAGCAAUAACCGAUGAUCUGCUAUAAAGGGGUAAGCAGAUCCUGCUUCACAUGGAUCACCCAUCGUGUUUAUAAAAUAAGUAACUGAAACUUCGAGGAUGAAUUUAAUUCAGUGAUAUUGCAUUCGAGAUGGUGGUAAAUUCUAUGUAAACACCUGUUAUAAUAAAACCCACGUUGGUACCGAUAAAGAAUGUUCCACGAACUAACCACAACGCAUAAUUGAAAACUGUUACGAACAAUAUAUAUCAUGAUGGGUCGUUUCUAAACGUGUAAGCUCUAUAUACAACGUCACUACGUCUCGUAAAACUAAAAUGACAUAUUUGUUACAAUAUUUCUUAUGGUUGAGCCCAACCUUCAAAAUCAAAUAUUUGUGGUAAGUCGCCGGGAAGCCGCUAACGUAUAUUUUUUUCUUGUUUUACACAGGCUACUUUUAUGAAAUGUAAAACAUCAGAGAAGCAUUUAUUAAUCUGACACAUAUUGAAAAAAAUAUCUUUAAUUCACUUUUAUUUUUUCAGUUAACACUACACAAAUCAACAAAGGAUGUAUAUAUCUGCAGUUUAAUUUGACUGUGAAUGAUUCAAACUUUUACGCAUGUGAAAACACGACAGCACCAUACAAUGUUGAUGAUGGCGCAUAUGACGGAAGAUUCUUGUACAUUAUUGUAGUGUUGUGUUUCUAUGGUCUUAGCAUGGUGCUGUUGAUGGUUAAAUAUGUUCGUCGAGAGGAAGAGGAAGUGUCUUUAGAUUUUUAUUACACGGAAUACGUGAAAAGAGAACAGUUCAAUUGUGCACGUUACCAGAACAAACUAUUGUUGGAAAAAACGAAAAAGAAUGCGGUAGUCUUUAAAAUUUUGACAGAAAAUAAGAAAAAUAACACAUAGGAAAUUUCAUUUAGAGACUUAACAAUUUUUACAACGUUGAAAAAAUCAAAACUAUGCAGUAAAAAAGGCGUAAGGCGAAACUUGUUCAAUCAUUGAUCACAC
RNAcentral lists this long non-coding RNA (1309 nucleotides) under Mytilus galloprovincialis (Mediterranean mussel). Lineage: Eukaryota; Metazoa; Mollusca; Bivalvia; Mytilida; Mytilidae. The record is from RNAcentral.